AUACGGAGGGUGCAAGCGUUGUCCGGAUUUAUUGGGUUUAAAGGGUGCGUAGGUGGCGUGUUAAGUCAGUGGUGAAAGCCUGCAGCUCAACUGUAGAGGUGCCAUUGAUACUGACAUGCUUGAGUAUGGACGAGGUAGGCGGAAUUUGUGGUGUAGCGGUGAAAUGCAUAGAUACCACAAAGAACACUGAUAGCGAAGGCAGCUUACUGGACCAUAACUGACACUGAGGCACGAAAGUGUGGGUAGCGAACAGGAUUAGAAACCCCAGUAGUCC
Molecule: ribosomal RNA, 274 nt
Filed under: uncultured bacterium
Lineage: Bacteria
Description: partial 16S ribosomal RNA
Rfam family: Bacterial small subunit ribosomal RNA
Source: RNAcentral